Molecule: long non-coding RNA, 411 nt
Filed under: Heterocephalus glaber (naked mole-rat)
Lineage: Eukaryota; Metazoa; Chordata; Mammalia; Rodentia; Bathyergidae
Description: lncRNA (ENSHGLG00100051232.1)
Source: RNAcentral
UCGUUCUGUAUCAACACAGCCCAGAUAGCAGGCAGAGUGAGCAGAAGGUUGAUGGGUGAGGAAGAAUCAUGACAUUGCCCACCCACCAAACACACCCUUGACACCCAGAGCGGACCCAGUGGUUCCCUCUAGUCAGCCAGCCCCUCACCAGGUCCUGACACCAUCCAGAAGUUACACACUCAGAAGAGAUGCAGCCCACACCCAGCCAGCACCCUCUUCCAGGAAGGACUGGGCAGGCUUCUUCUUAACUGAAGCUUGGCUUUGUGGCUACCUGGCCAUAGGCUUCUGAGCCAGACAUCAACAACCGUGCAAUCUGUGCAGAGGCCCCUGAAGAUUCAGAGACUGGGAAUGAGGUUGGAAACAGUUCAGCACCUCAGCGGGCCAACCACAGUAGGACAAAGGAGCCAAAGC